Non-coding RNA from Pteropus alecto (black flying fox), 119 nucleotides. Lineage: Eukaryota; Metazoa; Chordata; Mammalia; Chiroptera; Pteropodidae. The record is from Rfam.
GUCUAAGGCCAUGCCACCCUGAAUGUGCCCAAUCUCAUUUGAUCUCGGAAGUUAAUCAGUGUCGGGCCUGGUUAGUACUUGGAUGGGAGACCACCUAGGAAGACCAGGUGUUGUAGGCA